This 69-nucleotide transfer RNA is filed under the name Bombus sylvestris. RNAcentral's name for it is "tRNA-Met". Lineage: Eukaryota; Metazoa; Arthropoda; Insecta; Hymenoptera; Apidae. The record is from RNAcentral.
UAUAUAAUAAGCUAAAUUUAAGCUAAUAGGCUCAUACCCUAUCAAUAAAUUUUAAUAAUUUUUAUAUAA